This 301-nucleotide ribosomal RNA is filed under the name uncultured bacterium. Its description in RNAcentral is "partial 16S ribosomal RNA". It matches the Rfam family "Bacterial small subunit ribosomal RNA", at positions 509 to 807 of the family's 1533-position model. The record is from RNAcentral.
CAGCCGCCGCGGGAAUACGUAGGUGGCAAGCGUUGUCCGGAAUUAUUGGGCGUAAAGGGCUCGCAGGCGGUUUCUUAAGUCUGAUGUGAAAGCCCCCGGCUCAACCGGGGAGGGUCAUUGGAAACUGGGAAACUUGAGUGCAGAAGAGGAGAGAGGAAUUCCACGUGUAGCGGUGAAAUGCGUAGAGAUGUGGAGGAACACCAGUGGCGAAGGCGACUCUCUGGUCUGUAACUGACGCUGAGGAGCGAAAGCGUGGGGAGCGAACAGGAUUAGAUACCCGCGUAGUCCCUGUCUCUUAUAC